GAUGAACGCUGACAGAAUGCUAAACACAUGCAAGUCGAUGGGGAAGUGGUGCUUGCACCAUGGCAACCAUGGCGGACGGGUGAGUAACGCGUAAGGGACUUACCUGCAGGACUGGGAUAACAGGGGGAAACUCCUGACAAGACCGGAUAAUGUCAUGGAGCUGCAUGGCUUUAUGAUGAAAGGAGACGCCUGCGGAGAGCCUUGCGUCCUAUUAGCUAGUUGGUGAGGUAAUGGCUCACCAAGGCGAAGAUAGGUAGCCGGCCUGAGAGGGUGGACGGCCACAAGGGGACUGAGAUACGGCCCUUACUCCUACGGGAGGCAGCAGUGGGGAAUAUUGGACAAUGGGGGCAACCCUGAUCCAGCAAUUCUGUGUGCACGAAGAAGGUUUUCGGAUUGUAAAGUGCUUUCAGCAGGGAAGAAGUAAGUGACGGUACCUGCAGAAGAAGCGACGGCUAAAUACGUG
RNAcentral lists this ribosomal RNA (463 nucleotides) under uncultured bacterium. RNAcentral's name for it is "partial 16S ribosomal RNA". It matches the Rfam family "Bacterial small subunit ribosomal RNA", at positions 28 to 507 of the family's 1533-position model. The record is from RNAcentral.